Molecule: ribosomal RNA, 458 nt
Filed under: uncultured bacterium
Lineage: Bacteria
Description: bacterial SSU rRNA
Rfam family: Bacterial small subunit ribosomal RNA
Source: RNAcentral
AAUGAACGCUGGCGGCAGGCCUAACACAUGCAAGUCGAACGCACCUUUCGGGGUGAGUGGCGGACGGGUGAGUAACGCGUGGGAAUAUGCCCUUUGGUACGGAAUAGUCCUGGGAAACUGGGGGUAAUACCGUAUGUGCCCUUCGGGGAAAGAUUUAUCGCCAAAGGAUUAGCCCGCGUUGGAUUAGGUAGUUGGUGGGGUAAUGGCCUACCAAGCCGACGAUCCAUAGCUGGUUUGAGAGGAUGAUCAGCCACACUGGGACUGAGACACGGCCCAGACUCCUACGGGAGGCAGCAGUGGGGAAUCUUAGACAAUGGGGGAAACCCUGAUCUAGCCAUGCCGCGUGAUCGAUGAAGGCCUUAGGGUUGUAAAGAUCUUUCAGAUGGGAAGAUAAUGACGGUACCAUCAGAAGAAGCCCCGGNUAACUCCGUGCCAGCAGCCGCGGUAAUGUACAGUGU